UGUGCUAGUGACCUAAUACGGUAUAUAUGGGGUCAGUAAAUUCCAUAUGGGGUGAGAGCGAAGCUCGAAUCCCCAUAUGGAAUUUACUGACCCCAUAUAUACCGUAUUACGUCACCAGCACACUAUGUAACGAAUUUAUCUUACCGACUAUCUUAACGUGUGAAAUAAAGACUAGUGAUUCUCAAAAUGAGCAAGUCUUCAAUACUGUUAACAUUAAGAAAAUACUUCCAUUGAUCCUACAAAAACAGAUGCCAACAAUAACGACUUGUAAGGUUUAAAUGUGUUUUAUGAAUUUAUUUCAAUCUUAAUCAUCAAUUUCUUCGUCUGUUGGAACUUUUAAGUUUUUUUCUCAGUACCGUUUUGUUUUUAUAAAGGGACAUAACACCAUUACUAACCGUGUAUGAAAUAAGCCCCGCCCCCUUCUUACCUAAUAUGGAAUAUAAAGGGACGUAACUCCACUACUAACCGUGUAUGAGAUAAACCCCGCCUCCCUACUAACCUAAUAUCAAAUAUACACGGUUUGCACGCGGACGCUUUUAACCAAUCAUAUUCAUGGAA
RNAcentral lists this long non-coding RNA (558 nucleotides) under Mytilus galloprovincialis (Mediterranean mussel). The record is from RNAcentral. Lineage: Eukaryota; Metazoa; Mollusca; Bivalvia; Mytilida; Mytilidae.